This 177-nucleotide unclassified non-coding RNA is filed under the name uncultured fungus. RNAcentral's name for it is "sequence contains ITS1". The record is from RNAcentral. Lineage: Eukaryota; Fungi.
GUUUCAUUGUUAUGAAUUCAAUACAUUCUAAGACUCGUGUGUGAAAAAUGAGGACCGACCGAGGUCGAAUCCCAAAGUGCACGGUGUGUGUGGAUGGAAUUGUUUGACGUGCAGCCCGAGGGCGCAUCAGCCAAAGGUAAUUCGUUAAUGAUCCUUCCGCAGGUUCACCUACGGAAA